RNAcentral lists this unclassified non-coding RNA (1299 nucleotides) under Leishmania donovani. Its description in RNAcentral is "gene:unknown". Lineage: Eukaryota; Euglenozoa; Kinetoplastea; Trypanosomatida; Trypanosomatidae. The record is from RNAcentral.
CGAAUCAUAUACUACCGUAACAUGGUGAGAGAGGGGGCCGACGAUGCGGUGGGCGUCUGCCGGUGCGCCUGGUGCAGGAGAAGGCAGAGGACUUGCGUCGCCGAGUCAUCAAACGCAUCUCUUGCCGCAAUCGGUGCAUCGAGAACAGAUGGGCUGUUAUGGUGCGUCAUAGGGGAGGGGCGAGUGGGGGAGGGGAGCGAUCGUGCCUUGUUGUGCGUCGCGCGACACUCGGCGCGCGUGACUUUGGGACACGACGCCGUGAACAGCGAGAGCUAGAGGCGUUUGUGGCGUGCUGCAUUCACCGCACAGGCUCGCACGUCCCCGUCCCUCGGGAGGGGGGCUCGCCAUACUCUGUGUGCUCAUACUCUUCAGCGCAAAGUGCCGGCGGGUGCGGCGCCCCGCAAGCCCCCUCUGGGGCCGACGCCUCUGCUGCUGGCGCGGGUCCAUGGCUGCACAGACGCAGCCAUCUUGAAUGCGUACCUGUCUCGCUGAUCACACGCACACACACUUUUCCCGGCGCGUACAGCGCGUACAGGAGAGGUGGUGCAGUGCCCUACAGUGCGCCAUCAAUGGCGUGUGGCAGGAGCGUCUCGGGCCUGAGCGCUCCCUAUCAUCAAGCCAGUUCAGCUCCGGUCGCCGGUACCGGUAUGAGAGCCUACCUCGGCGCUUAUCCGGUCGCUCCUCUGGCACCCCGUCCUGGUGAUCCGGCCUACCGUGACGAAAGACGGGACUCGAGGAACGCCUGAAGCUCCUUUCUCCAUUGGCCAGUGGAUGUGUGCCACGGCUGCGUCGUGCACUUCUCUCUUGUGCGUACUGUCACGGCUGUUAUUUUUGCUUUUUCCAAUAUUCUGUUUUUUUUUAUUUUCCCCGCAGGCAUUCUUCACGUGUUGCCGUUGUCAACGUGGGGAGCACCUGCUCCGCCAGCGCUUGAUCGUUGCCUUUCCGUUGCGUUUUUUGAGCCCCUCUCUUCGUGCCUGCGUGUCUGCUUGCCUAUUCUCACCAUUUUGGGCGUGCUGUCGUCGUCGUUCUCUCCAUCCCCUCCUCCUGCGUUUGCUUUGUGUUUCUCGUCGUAUCCUCCUGCCUCCUCGCCUUUUGAUCCGUCACACACCCGUCUUCUCGUAGCAGCAUUCGGGGCGGGGCGGCUCCCCCUUCGCCGGCAGCGUUUCGCUUGCGCUCUCUCACGUGGUCUGUGCGUGUGCGAUACGGCACUCUUUCGCGCGAAAGCCGGCGACUUCCAAAACUUGCCCCGCCCCGUCCCCCUCUCUCUGUGUGUAUGUAUGUGUGCUCUGCUGGGUGUCG